GUACAAUAAGCAAAAUAAGGGCGUAUGGGGGAUGCCUAGGCUCUCAGAGGCGAUGAAGGGCGUGAUAAGCUGCGAAAAGCUACGGGGAUCGGCACACACGACUUGAUCCGUAGAUACCCGAAUGGGGCAACCCACUAUGUUGAAGACAUAGUACACCGAUAGGUGGGCAAACCCGCUGAACUGAAACAUCUAAGUAGGCGGAGGAGAAGAAAACAAAAGUGAUUCCGUAAGUAGUGGCGAGCGAACGCGGAUUAGCCCAAACCAAUGAUGUUACGGCAUUGUUGGGGUUGUAGGACCACGACAUUUUAUGCACAAGGAACUAGAAUCUACUGGAAAGUAGAACCAAAGAGGGUGAUAGUCCUGUAUAGGUAACAAGUGUAAUGAAUAGUGGUAUCCUGAGUAGGGCGGGGCACGUGAAACCCUGUCUGAAUUUGGCGGGACCAUCCGCUAAGGCUAAAUACUCCUGAGAGACCGAUAGUGAACCAGUACCGUGAGGGAAAGGUGAAAAGAACCGUGAAUAACGGAGUGAAAUAGAUCCUGAAACCAUACGCUUACAAGCGGUCGGAGCCCUUUCGUGGGGUGACGGCGUGCCUUUUGCAUAAUGAGCCUACGAGUUAACGUUGCUGGCAAGGAUAAGUGGUUAAGCCACGGAUCCGUAGCGAAAGCGAGUCUGAAUAGGGCGCUUUAGUCAGUAGUGUUAGACGCGAAACCGUGUGAUCUACCCAUGGGCAGGAUGAAGCUGUGGUAACACACAGUGGAGGUCCGAACCGGUUGACGUUGAAAAGUCUUCGGAUGACCUGUGGGUAGGGGUGAAAGGCCAAUCAAACUCGGAAAUAGCUCGUACUCCCCGAAAUGCAUUUAGGUGCAGCGUUGGUCAUAAAGUUAUAUAGAGGUAGAGCUACUGAUUGGAUGCGGGGGCUUCACCGCCUACCAAUUCCUGACAAACUCCGAAUGCUAUAUAAUGUUUACCAGCAGUGAGGGCUUGGGUGCUAAGGUCCAAGUCCGAGAGGGAAAGAACCCAGACCAUCAGCUAAGGUCCCCAAAUAUAUGUUAAGUUGAAAGAACGAGGUUUGUCUGCCCAGACAGCUAGGAUGUUGGCUUGGAAGCAGCCAUUCAUUUAAAGAGUGCGUAACAGCUCACUAGUCGAGCGGACGAGCAUGGAUAAUAAUCGGGCAUAAACAUAUUACCGAAGCUAUGGAUUUGAUAUUUAUUUAUCAAGUGGUAGGGGAGCAUUCUCACAGGGUAGAAGGUGUGUCGUAAGGCAUGCUGGACCGGUGAGAAAAGAAAAUGUAGGCAUAAGUAACGAUAAUGCGGGCGAGAAACCCGCACACCGAAAGACUAAGGUUUCCACAGCUAUGCUAAUCAGCUGUGGGUUAGUCGGGACCUAAGGCGAACCCGAAAGGGACAGUCGAUGGACAACGGGUUAAUAUUCCCGUACUACUUAUUACUGUGAUGGGGUGACGGAGUGAUGAAAGUGUCGCGAACUGACGGAAUAGUUCGUUGAAGGUUGUAGCUAUAUUCUAGAUAGGCAAAUCCGUUUAGAAUGGCAAAGACCGAUAGUACUCGGAGGCUUCGGCCAAAGAGAUAGUACACCUAAGGGCUUCCAAGAAAAACCUCUAAACUUCAGGUAAUGAGUACCCGUACCGUAAACCGACACAGGUAGUCGAGGAGAGAAUCCUAAGGUGCUCGAGAGAUUCAUGGCUAAGGAAUUAGGCAAAAUAGACCCGUAACUUCGGGAGAAGGGUCGCCACGCUUCUGGCGUGGCCGCAGUGAAGAGGUCCAGGCGACUGUUUAUCAAAAACACAGGGCUCUGCAAAAUCGUAAGAUGAAGUAUAGGGCCUGACACCUGCCCGGUGCUGGAAGGUUAAGUGGAGAUGUUAUGGGUAACCAGAAGCAUUGAAAUGAAGCCCCAGUAAACGGCGGCCGUAACUAUAACGGUCCUAAGGUAGCGAAAUUCCUUGUCGGGUAAGUUCCGACCUGCACGAAUGG
This 1989-nucleotide ribosomal RNA is filed under the name Flavobacterium psychrotolerans. RNAcentral's name for it is "bacterial LSU rRNA". It matches the Rfam family "Bacterial large subunit ribosomal RNA", at positions 1 to 1999 of the family's 2925-position model. The record is from RNAcentral. Lineage: Bacteria; Pseudomonadati; Bacteroidota; Flavobacteriia; Flavobacteriales; Flavobacteriaceae.